AGCAUGCAGGGAGCCUUGCCUGGGGUCUGCUGGUACCAGCCAGGGUAGUGACUACUAGAGACUGACCCACAACUAAGGCCACAGGUGAGUGUGACUGUCCCUCCUGGAGACACAGAGAGUGAUGGCUCCUGAGUCACCACAGUCUGAGAAUCCACACCUGGGCUGUAAGCAAGGAGCCCGAGCAGGAGCACCAUCCAGGCCAUGGUGGGGACUCUCACAGGACACGGCCCCCACAGGCUCCUGGGCUGGAGGGUGGUGU
This is a long non-coding RNA of Phyllostomus discolor (pale spear-nosed bat), 259 nucleotides long. RefSeq lists it as uncharacterized. The record is from RefSeq and is a predicted model, not a curated record. Lineage: Eukaryota; Metazoa; Chordata; Mammalia; Chiroptera; Phyllostomidae. The transcript is spliced from 3 exons.